Castor canadensis (American beaver) is the source of this 604-nucleotide non-coding RNA. The record is from RefSeq and is a predicted model, not a curated record. Lineage: Eukaryota; Metazoa; Chordata; Mammalia; Rodentia; Castoridae.
CAUUAUGUGGAGGAGAUGUUAGAGGGCCAAGUGGAACAAUCUUAUCACCUGGUUACCCGGAAUUUUAUCCAAAUUCUCUGAAUUGUACAUGGACUGUCGAUGUAACCCAUGGAAAAGGUGUGCAGUUCAACUUCCACACUUUUCAUUUGGAGGACCAUCAUGACUACUUACUGAUCACAGAGAAUGGGAGUUUUACCCAACCUCUGGCACGUCUGACUGGUUCAGAGCUUCCUUCAACAAUCAAUGCUGGUCUCUAUGGAAAUUUCAGAGCACAGUUACGCUUCAUUUCAGAUUUUUCUAUAUCAUAUGAAGGAUUCAACAUUACAUUCUCAGAAUAUAACCUUGAGCCUUGUGAAGACCCUGGAAUUCCUCAAUAUGGUAACCGAAUUGGAUUCAACUUUGGGGUUGGAGACACUCUGACUUUCUCAUGCUCAUUGGGUUAUCGCCUGGAAGGAACAUCGGAGAUCAUCUGUCUUGGUGGUGGUCGGCGAGUGUGGAGUGCACCUCUGCCAAGGUGUGUGGGUACGUGGUCAGCUGCUUUCAUUUGCUUGUAUGUGUAGUCACUGUCCAUGGACUUGCAUGGUUAUACACCCUUUGUUUUUUU